AAUAUUGGACAAUGGGCGAAAGCCUGAUCCAGCAAUGCCGCGUGUGUGGAGAAGGUAUUCGGAUUGUAAAGCACUUUAAGUUGGGAGGAAGGGGUUGAAGCUAAUACCUUCAAUCUUUGACGUUACCAACUGAAUAAGCACCGGCCAACUCUGUGCCAGCAGCCGCGGUAAUACAGAGGGUGCAAGCGUUAAUCGUAAUUGCUGGGCGUAAAGCGCGCGUCGGUGGUUCAGUAAGAUGGGUGUGAAAUCCCCGGGGUUAACCUGGGAACUGCUUUCAUAACUGCUGGGCUAGAGUACGGUAGAGCGUAGUGGAAUUUCCUGUGUAGCGGUGAAAUGCGUAGAUAUAGGAAGGAACACCAGUGGCGAAGACGACUACCUGGACUGAUACUGACACUGCGGUGCGAAAGCGUGGGGAGCAAACAGG
Molecule: ribosomal RNA, 424 nt
Filed under: uncultured bacterium
Lineage: Bacteria
Description: partial 16S ribosomal RNA
Rfam family: Bacterial small subunit ribosomal RNA
Source: RNAcentral